Molecule: non-coding RNA, 72 nt
Organism: Ipomoea triloba (trilobed morning glory)
Lineage: Eukaryota; Viridiplantae; Streptophyta; Magnoliopsida; Solanales; Convolvulaceae
Source: the annotation of a RefSeq genome assembly
GGGUCCAUAGCUCAGUGGUAAAGCAUUUGACUGCAGAUCAAGAAGUCACUAGUUCAAACCUGGUUGGGUCCU